Molecule: ribosomal RNA, 427 nt
Filed under: uncultured bacterium
Lineage: Bacteria
Description: bacterial SSU rRNA
Rfam family: Bacterial small subunit ribosomal RNA
Source: RNAcentral
AUCAACGCUGGCGGCGUGCCUAACACAUGCAAGUCGAACGCGAAAGGGGAGCAAUCCCUGAGUAGAGUGGCAAACGGGUGAGUAACACGUGGGUGACCUGCCUUCGAGUGGGGGAUAACGUUCCGAAAGGAACGCUAAUACCGCAUGACAUCCUGCUUUUGGAAAAGCGGAGAUCAAAGCUGGGGAUUCGCAAGAACCUAGCGCUUGAAGAGGGGCCCGCGCCUGAUUAGCUAGUUGGUGAGGUAACGGCUCACCAAGGCUACGAUCAGUAUCCGGCCUGAGAGGGCGGACGGACACACUGGGACUGAGACACGGCCCAGACUCCUACGGGAGGCAGCAGUGGGGAAUUGUUCGCAAUGGGCGCAAGCCUGACGACGCAACGCCGCGUGGAGGAUGAAGGCCCUUGGGUUGUAAACUCCUGUCGGCU